UUUUUCCUGAAAUCUGGAUAUAAAUGAUUAAUCUUCUUCCAUUGGGAAGAAUAAGCCAGAUGGCGGAGCAUUCCAUCGGAGUUUCUCUCAUCUGCAUGUCAUGUGAGGUCUUUUGCAUCAUCCUUAUUAACAAACAGACACUUAAACCUUGAAAUGAUAGGAAGAUACCAUGACACCUUUGUUGGGGCGCCAUUCUUUGUGCUUUCAUCAUUGCUACACUUG
RNAcentral lists this long non-coding RNA (222 nucleotides) under Glycine max (soybean). RNAcentral describes it as "long non-coding RNA (GMAX_LNC001970)". Lineage: Eukaryota; Viridiplantae; Streptophyta; Magnoliopsida; Fabales; Fabaceae. The record is from RNAcentral.